UUCAUCAAUUGCAAGCUAAAAUCGGAUCGUUCCCCACCCCUCCCUCAUCCAAUAACUUCCUUAUCCUUUCUCAAUCUUCUCUCAAACGAUCAUUACUCACACCAUUGUUGAUUUUCAAUCCGGCUCCAACCAACUCUUUUCUCAUGUCCACCGUCGCCAGAGGGUAGUGUGAUGUUUCCUUUCAGCCAGCUCCAAUACCGCAUGGUUUUGAGUGAGCUCCAUCGUCUCAGGGAUGCUUUACCCGUUCCUUGAAUGAUCGUCUUCAUCACAAGCUGCUUAGAUUCGCCGAUUGUCAUCGAUUUCUAUUCACCAUUGCAGCAACACAACCUCCACUCCGAUGCAUCAAGGUUCAUGGAUGACGGAUAUACAAGCAAUGUAUAUAGACGAAAACAUUUUUGUUUGAAAUAGCUCUAGACAAGGUAAACAUGCUUCCAUGUUAUUUCUUUCAUAUCUAAUUUAAUUAUUUGACUAAUAUUCAAACAUAUUUAUUGAUUAAAUGUGUGGAUGAAAUUUUGUUCCUAUAUAAGUUGUGUUCAUUGGGUUGAUUAGAGGGUUAAAUCAUGGAAACAAUUGUUUGCAGCUAAUUCCUUUCCAUUUAGCAAUACUAUUUGGCUGUGCAAAUCUCAAUUUUUUGCUAUUAGAUGAAACUUUGUGUGAUUGUUUUAGUGAUGUUUAAAAAAGAAAUCUCGAUAUUUGUUGUGUUAAUACCAUCUAUGUUCAUCAAUAGCAACGUGAUCCAUGUCUGUAAAAAUUAAGACUUUUUUAAGUUAGUGAAGAAAAGAAGAGGUAAAUUUUGAUUUUUUUUAAAUUUGUUUUAGUCUAUUACUUGAAAUUUCAUUUUUUAUUUUCAUACUUUGAUUCUUUGACAUUUCUUAACUUAGGUUCGUAGUUGUAAUUUAGGAAUUCUUCCAUUUGAUAGUGCUCGUGUGGGAUCUAUUAAACACCUCAUUUCCAUGAUUUUCACUGUUCGGUUCUUUAUGUAUUGAGUAAGAAAUAAACACCCAUAAUCCCAUAAAUAGCUUACGAGAUUAAGUCUUUAUCCAACUUAAUCGCAUUAAGUAUAAAAAAAAAAUAAAUAAAUAAAUAAAUUGCUAAAAUAGCAAUAUACUUUUCUCUGGUUUAUAAAUAUGAGCAACAUACUUUAGUUUUAAGUUUUAUCCUAUAAUACCAACAUACCUUUAAUUCUCCAACCAAUUUAAUCAAUACAUGUUUUUUAUGCCUUACCGAGAAUGCUGACGUUGCAUUUCUUCUAGAACUGCCACAUAAUCUUACAAAAGGCAAAUGACAUAUAAGCAUUGUGAAUGUCAGCGGUUUGAGGUUGUCUGCAGAUCGCAAUGCCUUAUGCAAAGGAAGUUAAGAUACAACUAUUAAGAUUAGUGGCGAAGCCAAGGUCAAAGUAAAAGGGUAUUCCAAUUCGGUUCCUCGCUUUCAAGUUUAAACCCAAAUUCAUUCGAAAGUUUGAGAAGUUUGUGUUGCUUAUAUAAUAAAUGUAUAGGAGUUGUAUUUCAUGUUAUGGCCAAUGUGGGACAAUUUUAGAAUUAUAAGAAACAAGUUGAUGGAAUAUAAGAUAAAAACUAAAAAUAAAAUAAAAUACACCCGUGUUAAAGCCAAGAUUCGAAAAAGAGACAUCCAAGUUAAAAGUUGAACACUUUACCACUUGUACAACUCGGUACUUGUGUUUAAUUUUCACAACAUCAUAACAUAAUCGGUAUAAAAUCUGUAUAAUACUGUAUAAACUCUUUUUAUAUUGCUACGAAAAUAAAAGAAAAGAAAUGUUAGAAAGAAGAUUCGAGCUUUCAACCUUCAGAAUAAGGCCCAAUCACCAUAACCACCUAAACCAACUACAACUUUUAUUGUUAUUUUGCUAAACAUAUGUAUAUUAAGGACCGCAACAUAAACGAAACCUUCUUAAAAAAUUUAUACUAUUGAAAAUUUUUUGAGGGGCAUCCCGGGAUACCCCGGGAUCCAAUGUAGAUCUCCCCAUGAUUAAGGUUGGAAUUAGAUCAAACAAAAUCUGGAAUCUUCAAUUUUGUUCCUAUAUUGAAACAUGGUUAGGAGAUGGAUCCUAUAAACUUUGAAAAGUAACUCAGGUUAAUUCAUACAUUUAUUAUUUGUUUGAAGGAAACUUGCAAGAAAUAAUAUAAUGGCUUUUUGGUGUGUGAUGAACCCAUUCCAGGCCAAUGCAACAUGGUGUUUAUAGUUACGAUCAAACACUUUCAAAUAUGAUAAUUAAUAGGGUAGAUUUUUCAAAGUAUAACAUCCUAAUUUAAAAAAUGAAAUGACAUAAUUGCCCCUAAUAUGAAUUAGGUGGUGUUUGGCUAAGCUUUUUAAAACAACUUACUAGGUUCCAUACCACUAUAAGUUAAAAAAAUGUUUAGAUGAAAAUAACUUAUUCCGUUGGGGAAUCUCUAAUAAGUCAUUUUUUCAUAAGUUACCAUACACUUACUUAUUAACAUAUAAGCUAAUAAGCUAAUAAGAAAAAAGUUUUUUUUUUUUUGCCAAACACCCCCUUACUCUUACUUUUUUUAUUUACAUAUCUUUGUUUUUGCAUUUCUUGGAUUUACAUCUUACAUUUAGUUUUCCUGCGAAAAAUUUUAUAUAAAUAAAUAUUCGGUCUUUGUACUCUACUUGCUGGAAUAUUGAUGUAACAUUGGGUCUUCGAGAAAAAUAUUUAGAACCUCUCUAUACCAAGAAAAUGCUAAAAAUCCAAGGUGAAUUUAAGCUUUUCAUGCUCAUCGUUGCCUUAAUAAGCAACAAAAUCGUCAUUUUUCUGACUAGGGUUUUGGAGAUCACAACAUAUGUUGUGAACCCUUUGUAGCUCAAGAAACCUCAAUCUUAACACUCAAAUACCCAAAUCAACACAAGAAAGUAGCCAUCAAGAUCUAAGAGUCGAGGUGAAGCGGACAACUGAUUGGACAAUCCUCCCAUCAUAUAUAAUACCUCAACCCACCAUUCUGAUCCAUGCGGAGCGGGGGCUCCUUACUCUCUCUCUCUCUCUCUCUCUCUCUCUCUCUAUAUAUAUAUAUAUAUAUAUAUAUAUAUAUAUAUAUAUAUAUAUAUAUAUAUAUAUAUCAACAAUCUUAAAAUGUGUAGCUAAAUUUGUAAAUUUCAAUCGGAAUGAUAUAAAAAAAUUAUUUUUGUAUUUUUGCGACAA
Lactuca sativa (garden lettuce) is the source of this 3154-nucleotide non-coding RNA. The record is from RefSeq and is a predicted model, not a curated record. Lineage: Eukaryota; Viridiplantae; Streptophyta; Magnoliopsida; Asterales; Asteraceae.